AGAGUUUGAUCCUGGCUCAGGACGAACGCUGGCGGCAGGCCUAACACAUGCAAGUCGAACGAGAAGCCGAUCUUCGGAUUGGUGGACAGUGGCGGACGGGUGAGUAACGCGUGGGUACUUGCCUCUUGGUACGGGACAACCCCGGGAAACUGGGGCUAAUACCGUAUAUACCGAUUUUGGUGGUUCUUAGUCGGGAAAGAUUUAUCGCCGAGAGAUAGACCCGCGUCCGAUUAGCUAGUUGGUGUGGUAACGGCGCACCAAGGCAUCGAUCGGUAGCUGGUUUGAGAGGAUGAUCAGCCACACUGGGACUGAGACACGGCCCAGACUCCUACGGGAGGCAGCAGUGGGGAAUAUUGGACAAUGGGCGCAAGCCUGAUCCAGCCAUGCCGCGUGAGUGAAGAAGGCCCUAGGGUUGUAAAACUCUUUCACCGGUGAAGAUAAUGACGGUAGCCGGAGAAGAAGCCCCGGCUAACUCCGUGCCAGCAGCCGCGGUAAUACGGAGGGGGCUAGCGUUGUUCGGAAUUACUGGGCGUAAAGCGUGCGUAGGCGGUUUAGCAAGUUAGAAGUGAAAGCCCUGGGCUCAACCUAGGAAUUGCUUUUAAAACUGCUAAACUAGAAUCUCGGAGGGGAUGGUGGAAUUUCCAGUGUAGAGGUGAAAUUCGUAGAUAUUGGAAGGAACACCAGUGGCGAAGGCGACCAUCUGGACGAGUAUUGACGCUGAGGCACGAAAGCGUGGGGAGCAAACAGGAUUAGAUACCCUGGUAGUCCACGCCGUAAACGAUGUAAACUAGCCGUUGGGACCUUAGGUUUCAGUGGCGCAGCUAACGCACUAAGUUUACCGCCUGGGGAGUACGGCCGCAAGGUUAAAAACUCAAAGGAAUUGACGGGGACCCGCACAAGCGGUGGAGCAUGUGGUUUAAUUCGAUGCAACGCGCAGAACCUUACCAGCCCUUGACAUCCCGAUUGGGAGGAGCAGAGAUGCACCUCUUCAUUUAGUUGGAUCGGUGACAGGUGCUGCAUGGCUGUCGUCAGCUCGUUGUCGUGAGAUGUUGGGUUAAGUCCCGCAACGAGCGCAACCCCUGUUAUCAGUUGCCGUCAGUUAAAGGUGGGGACUCUAAGGAGACUGCCUGGGAUAACCAGGAGGAAGGUGGGGAUGAUGUCAAGUCAGUAUGUCCCUUAUGUCCAGGGCUACACACGUGUUACAAUGGUCAGUACAAAGGGUUGCCAACCCGCAAGGGGGAGCCAAUCCCAAAAAACUGACCCCAGUUCAGAUUGGAGUCUGCAACUCGACUCCAUGAAGGUGGAAUCGCUAGUAAUCGCGCAUCAGCACGGCGCGGUGAAUACGUUCCCGGGUCUUGUACACACCGCCCGUCAAGCCAUGGAAGUCGGCAGUACCCGAAGCCGGUAUCUCAACCUUAGGGAGAGAGCCGUCGAAGGUAAGGCCGGUAACUGGGGCUAAGUCGUAACAAGGUAACC
This 1476-nucleotide ribosomal RNA is filed under the name uncultured prokaryote. RNAcentral describes it as "partial 16S ribosomal RNA". It matches the Rfam family "Bacterial small subunit ribosomal RNA". The record is from RNAcentral.